GACGAACGCUGGCGGCGUGCUUAACACAUGCAAGUCGAACGGGCCUGUCUUCUUUUUUGGGGGUGGGUUGAGUGGCGAACGGGUGAGUAUCACGUGAGUAACCUGCCCUUCGGUCCUGGUUAACCGCUUGAAAGGGCGGCUAAUACGGGGUGGUCCGGUUGGUCCGCAUGGGCUGGUCGGGAUAGAUUCACUGUUUUUGGUGUUUCGGCGGGGGAUGGGCUCGCGGCCUAUCAGCUUGUUGGUGGGGUGAUGGCCUACCAAGGCGGUGACGGGUAGCCGGCCUGAGAGGGUGGGCGGCCACACUGGGACUGUGGUACGGCCCAGACUCCUGCGGGAGGCAGCAGUGGGGGGUAUUGCACAAUGGGCGGAAGCCUGAUGCAGCGGCGUCGCGUGAGGGAUGGAGGCCUUCGGGUUGUGAACCUCUGUUUCCGGUGGUGAAGGCCCUGUCCGUGUGGUGGGGUUGACGGUAGCCGGGGAUGAAGCGCCGGCUAACUACGUG
This 499-nucleotide ribosomal RNA is filed under the name uncultured bacterium. Its description in RNAcentral is "partial 16S ribosomal RNA". It matches the Rfam family "Bacterial small subunit ribosomal RNA", at positions 28 to 507 of the family's 1533-position model. The record is from RNAcentral.